Rosa chinensis is the source of this 4347-nucleotide long non-coding RNA. RefSeq lists it as uncharacterized. NCBI's taxonomy places the organism in Eukaryota, Viridiplantae, Streptophyta, Magnoliopsida, Rosales, Rosaceae. The record is from RefSeq and is a predicted model, not a curated record. The transcript is spliced from 7 exons.
GAAUACUCCAUCCGAUAUAGAAAAAUUUCUCUUACUCUCGGUGCCCAUUUUGCAUAAAAAUAAAACCAACUCCACCACCAGUAUGGUGUUAGCUUGUUGAGUGUUGACAACCGAAGUUGUUAGUUGUGCAAGAAAAAAUAAAAAAUAGAAAAAGGUAACUGAAGUUUGAAGGGGAAACAGAUGUCUCGUUCAAAUUCUCAACAGAUUCCAGAGCAGCGGCGUUCCUUGCUCCAUUUAGCGUUGUUCGCCUCUGCGAUUUCCCAAUUUGGGAAUUCGAGAAAGGGGUGAUUUAGGGAUUGAAUUGGUUGAUGAUCAGAUUCAUUGCUACCUACCAAAAGGGGGUUUGGCAGACCAUUUUCGUUUUUGGGUUCCAAGACCAAAAGUGAGAGAUUUGAGCUUGUUAGCAUUACACAUUUGAAAUGAUGAGCCAACUUUGUAAACCUACCAAUUCCCAGCUGUAUACAAACACUUCAAGUGUUUAAACUGAACUAGCUACUGAUCAUCGCCUCAUCGGUAAGCUAAUGUGAUCGAUAGAGGUGAUAGUGAAGUAUGAUGCUGAUAUCUGGAAAGAUUAGUAAGGUGACAUUGCACGUGGUGGAGUGUCCACCAUGUUCCCAGGAACUGCUGAUCAGAUGUGGAUAUCUAAGCCAGAGUAUGUAGAAUUUGGUCCAUCCAUUUGUCCACGGUGGAAACUUGUAUGGACCCUAAUGGAUCAGCACUGGAAACACUUAGACCGACAACUUUAUUCAUGGGAGAGGAUAACAGCAACAGGCAAACCUUGGAGCUGAAAUUCUGAGUACAGAAGCACAUUUGCAUUAGGUAGAGUCUUUGCCUUCUUGUCUGUUUAUUAUGGAGCUGGGCAACUAGAUACAAGAUGGUAUGGUGAACAAUAUGCUAGUAGAGGCUGCUGUCGCUGUUCAAGCAGGUGUUUGCAUGGACAUUUUUGCCAUUACAAAUGAGUAUACAGAUCUGGCGUCUUUGAAGUUUCUUAGUGUAGAGCGUGGAUAUCCAUAUACUGACGAUAGUCAUGUCUUCCAGAGGGCAUGUAAGUAUGCCAUGAAAUACUGUGGAUUUACUUGACCUUUCAGUGUUUGAUGUUGGAUAAAACUCAACUAGGAACCACUAUUAACGUCACAAAUAAUUUAAACUUUGAAGCUCAUCUAGCAUGCACGCAGCACACUCGUCUACAUAUUAUGAAGUUUAAAGGAAAGAACAAUUUAGUUUUACUUCUUACUUUAAGUUCCUUGGAAUAUCUGAAAUUAGUGCAUACUUUGGACUUUGUUUUUUUUUUUUCAGUGCAAGUCUUAGUUCAUUUAUAAAUUACUGUUCAUGGCAAUUAACGAUCAAUAAAUUAUAUGCAAAGUACAGGAUUUGAAGAGAUAUGAGAGCAUAUCUGUUGGUGUUAGCUAUGGUUAAUUCUCAUAUUUAUUGAAGUUUAUAACUUGAAAAUCAUGCAUGUCUCUUGACUUCAUUUUCUUGGUUUGUCGGUUGAUCCACUUCAAAAGGAUUUGAGUGCGCAUUCAAUCCAGUACCACAUCCCACCUCCAGUUGUAGGAAACAUUUACAAAUUGAUCAGUGCUUUCUACGCAACUUUCUAGAUUCUAGUUCCAAAUCCCAUUAUCCAUAUGUUCAAUUCCUUUUCAGUUCUAUUAACUUAAAAGAAAAGAAAAGGAAAAAAAAAAAUCCUGUUUUGCUACAAUGUCAUACUAUGUCAAAUGAUUUUGUUUUGAUAUUGAUUCUUUUUUCUUGCCCAACUGUAAUCAGUAACUGUGAUUUCGAGUUUGUUAAGUGGAAAAUUUAUAAUUUAAGUUGGAUAGGUAAAUUGGUCGUUAGUGCUUAGUAGCACUAUGUCUUCUUUUCUUUUGGGCUGGUGUGGUUGAUUGAAUGAACUGUAUGAUGUAAAAGGAAUUCUGCAGAUAUAAGCCAUCUGUUAUUGAACAGGUUAUUUCCUUUGUAUAUUGUCCACCAUUUACCUUCUCUACCCAGUAAAUUCUGAUCUUGCUCAUGGAUAAACUUGUUCACCAGUUCACCCUUUUUUGUUUUUGAUUUGUUUUUAAUGAAAAAGCAAUUACACCUUAAGAUUGAAUCAUGACUCAUUUUGUAUUGGACUAGUAGACAUUGAUGGUGAAAUCUAUCAAUGUAUGAUCUGACUCAUUUUGUAUUGGAUUACCAUUUAUUUAUGGUGAAAUCCACAUCAUUUAGAUUUAUGAUCUCAUAAGUUAAAACUCACCUACCUAAGAAGCCAAAAAAUAGAUGAGAUUAAGCCAUUUAGAGCGGACAGCUGAUUCAAUGUGUUAUUAUCAGUCCUUUUCUUCUUCAUCGUUGAGCCACUUAGACCAUUAUUUAAACAACCUAAAAUUAACCUAGAAAGGUUUGCACACCUUUCUAAUGAUAGUUAUAUUAGGUGGAUUUUGCUUUUUCUUCAUUUUCAUAGUGCAGUCUAACCACAGAUUAAGCAUCUCAUACUUUGAGUCUCAUUUUGUAUUGGAUUACCAUAGUGGAAUCCAGAUCAUUUAGAGCUAUGAUCUCGUCAAAGUUAAAACUCACCUACCUAAGAAGCCAAAAAUAGAUGUUGAGCCAUUUUGAGAGGAUUGAUUCAAUGCAUUGUUAUCAGUCCUUUUCCUGUACAGCUUUGAGCAACUCAGACCAUUAUCUAAACAACCUAGAAUAACAUAGAAGGGUUUGCACACCUUUCUAAUAAUAGUUAUAUUAGGUGGAUUUAAUAUGCUCAAUUUUUCUUCUCUGGUUUCUUCUCCAAAUUUCUGCAGUGCAACCACAGAAGAAUACUCCUAGUGUAAGUCAAGAGAACACUUGCCUCUUAACCCUCUAUAUAUUCUCCCAAGCCCCAGUUUUCCUUCCAUACAUCAAAAACAAGAAAAGAAAAAUUAUGGCCAAGCCCCACUUCCUCCUCCUCCUUCUCCUCGUACUCCUCCUCAACUGCGACCUAACAUCCCUCUCAGUCUUCAAGAUACACUCAUCUGGUCACCAAAAGCUCUCUACUGAUUCCACCACCAUCCCUCAGCCCCCACCAGCAAAGUUAUUCAUUACUCAGUCAUGAGACCUAUAUAUUUCGUAGUUGAAAUCAACAUAGGCAUACCCACCCAGAAUUUCUUCAGUCUGGCCCUUGAUAUAAAAAAUCCAUUCACAUGGGUUGGCACCUCCUCCAAGCCAAACAUCUCGCAUUCAUUCCUGGCCAUGCCAGGAAAGGACCCGCUGUGCCUGCCGCCUCUGCUGCAUCUUGCGCAUAUGACUUUGGUUAUGCUCAUGGGAUGUGGGUUUGAUUAUUUCUUGGGCAUAGAAUCUCAGAUCAAGGCUCCCCUUGGCUGGGGGAUUUUUACGGACGAACGGGAGGAGGGCGUGCGAGGCAGUAGUAGAGAUGCAGAUGGCAUCUUAGGGUUGGGAGUAGGGCACCCAGCCCACCUGUUAGAGGGGCUGGGGGCGGCAACUCUUUAUCAAUUCUCUUACUGUUUGCCACUGAACUAUGUGAUUGAAGAAAGUACUGACCAGCAACGCCACCCGGCUACUCUAAACUUCGGAGAAAAUGCAGCUAUCAGGGGUCAUCGGGCUGUGAGAACGCCCAUUCUAAGGCUGAAAGGGUCAGGACCCACCAAGGAUUUUUCAUAUCUGAAUCGGACAGGGAUCUAUGUGAACCGCCAUAGGCUGCAUAUAAACACACAAGUCUUUCAUCCCUCCCAGGGAGGAUUCAUUGUGGACACAGCAUCGCCGAACUGGAAGUGAGGAGGCCUACAAGGAAUUGAGACUAGCAAUCCACUUUUUUUUUUUUUUCUGAACAGUAUCCUGGUCUGGAGCCAUUGAAGGACCCAAAAUCAGGGUUUGAUAUGUGCUUGCUCACAUCGCCGCUGGUGCUACGAAGGCCUUCAAUCCAGCUCAUGUUUGAAGGUGGAGCCAAGCUCAUGCUAAACCCAGCGACAACUUUCCAUGAGUUAGGACCUCAACGAGUUCUGCCUUCUCAUACUACCACGCUCUUCUUUCCAUGAUGGUGGUUCUGCUCCCAGUGUCUUGGGUGUUCUCCAGCAAGUCGAACACAGGUUCCACUUUGACAUUCACGCUUCAAUUAUACCCAUAAUAUCUACUUGAGACUGCUGAGCCUCAUGCAGCAGUGUAACAAAGUUCGGGAGCAAAGGCCAGAAUUGAAGCGUGAAUGUCAAAGUGGAACCUGUGUCCGACUUGCUGGAGAACACCCAAGACACUGGGAGCAGAACCACCAUCAUGGAUAAAAACUAUAUGAAUAAAAACUAUGGGUGUGGUCUGUGUACGACCCAUUUGAACCAAGAUGUUGCUUUUUUCCAGUUAUCAAUUUCAGUUAUUUUGAGUGCUUUAAUUCCA